CAUGCAAGUCGAGCGAGGUACUUGUACCUAGCGGCAGACGGGUGCGUAACAUGUGGGAAUCUGCCUUUUGGUUCGGAACAACACGGGGAAACUUGUGCUAAUACCGGAUAAGUCCUAACGGAGAAAGAUUUAUCGCCGAAAGAUGAGCCCGCACUAGAUUAGCUUGUUGGUAAGGUAAAAGCUUACCAAGGCUACGAUCUAUAGCUGAUUUGAGAGGAUGAUCAGCCACACUGGGACUGAGACACGGCCCAGACUCCUACGGGAGGCAGCAGUGGGGAAUCUUGCACAAUGGAGGAAACUCUGAUGCAGCGAUGCCGCGUGAGUGAAGAAGGCCCUUGGGUUGUAAAGCUCUUUUGUCGGGAAAGAUAAUGACUGUACCCGAAGAAUAAGGUCCGGCUAACUUCGUGCCAGCAGCCGCGGUAAUACGAAGGGACCUAGCGUAAUUCGGAAUUACUGGGCGUAAAGCGCGCGUAGGCGGUUAAGUAAGUUAAUUGUGAAAGCCCAAAGCUCAACUUUGGAAUUGCAAUUAAAACUACUUAGCUAGAGUUUAUCAGAGGAAAGCGGAAUACAUAGUGUAGAGGUGAAAUUCGUAGAUAUUAU
Molecule: ribosomal RNA, 600 nt
Filed under: uncultured Alphaproteobacteria bacterium
Lineage: Bacteria; Pseudomonadati; Pseudomonadota; Alphaproteobacteria
Description: bacterial SSU rRNA
Rfam family: Bacterial small subunit ribosomal RNA
Source: RNAcentral